Non-coding RNA from Punica granatum (pomegranate), 104 nucleotides. The record is from RefSeq and is a predicted model, not a curated record. Lineage: Eukaryota; Viridiplantae; Streptophyta; Magnoliopsida; Myrtales; Lythraceae.
CCACCUCCCCAGCACAUCAUCACCUUUGCUGCCUCCCUCGGCUCUGCUCGCUUGUACUGCCCUGUUUCAGCCACUCUGGAUUUCGUGAAUUCUGUACAGGAGAA